This 498-nucleotide ribosomal RNA is filed under the name uncultured bacterium. RNAcentral describes it as "bacterial SSU rRNA". It matches the Rfam family "Bacterial small subunit ribosomal RNA", at positions 899 to 1397 of the family's 1533-position model. The record is from RNAcentral.
ACUCAAAGGAAUAGACGGGGACCCGCACAAGCGGUGGAGCAUGUGGUUUAAUUCGAAGCAACGCGAAGAACCUUACCAAGCCUUGACAUCCCCCCGGCGCCGCGCGAGAGCGGGGUUCCCUUCGGGGCGGGGGAGACAGGUGGUGCAUGGUUGUCGUCAGCUCGUGUCGUGAGAUGUUGGGUUAAGUCCCGCAACGAGCGCAACCCUUGUUCCCAGUAGCCAGCGACAUGGUCGGGCACUCUGGGGAGACUGCCGGGGACAACCCGGAGGAAGGCGGGGACGACGUCAAAUCAUCAUGCCCCUUAUGGCUUGGGCUACACACGUGCUACAAUGGCGCGAACAGAGGGAGGCGAGCCCGCGAGGGGGAGCGAACCCCAAAAAGCGCGUCCCAGUUCGGAUUGCAGUCUGCAACUCGACUGCAUGAAGCCGGAAUCGCUAGUAAUCGCGGAUCAGCACGCCGCGGUGAAUACGUUCCCGGGUCUUGCACACACCGCCCGU